Molecule: microRNA precursor, 180 nt
Filed under: Oryza rufipogon (brownbeard rice)
Lineage: Eukaryota; Viridiplantae; Streptophyta; Magnoliopsida; Poales; Poaceae
Also listed under: 1 other name
Description: MIR812 microRNA precursor family
Rfam family: MIR812 microRNA precursor family
Source: Rfam by way of RNAcentral
UUUAAGUGUAGCCAUGAGUUUCCGUGUCCAACGUUUGACCAUCCGUCUUAUUUUAAAUUUUUUAUUAUUAUUAGAUGAUAAAACAUGAAUAGUACUUUAUGCAUGAUUCAUUUUUGUUAAAAUUUUCAAAUAAGACAGACGGUCAAACAUUUGACACGGAAAAUCACAACUGCACUUAAA